CGGGGCGCCCGCAACUUAGAAGCCCGGGAUUGUGUCCCGGAAGGAAGCCUGGACUUGCCAGGCCGCGGGAGGCUCCGCACUACAGGAAGGGAGCCCCCACUCCCAGCCCGUUCGGGGGCUUCUCUGAGGAGCCUGGGGCCACCGGGCCCUUUCUUUUUACAGGGUCGCACACGCUGUGAUAUAUUUUAGCUGCAUCACAACCCUUUUAAUACCCCAGCAUGACACUGACUGCGUUAGUAAGGACCUCAUUUGGUUGGUGACCGCCAAGCGCACAUUUGAGACGCUUCCACGGCUCUGAGGCACAGGCUGCUUCUGCUCUGGCCCGGGAGAGGGCAGAAGCGGUGGUGGAGAGCGACCGCCGCCCAGUGCGGGUUAGUCUGGGCAGGAGGGGGUGGCAGCCCUUUGGUCAGUGUCCUUUGCUCAACCCCAUUUGUGAAAGGCCUCUCGCAUCCCGAGUCGAAUCCCCGCCCGUUCCUGGCUCCGCCGUCGGGGCUUUUCUCGGGAAGAACGCGGCGCGCAGCGCCAAGUCAGCCGGGACAGCUCCAGGAGCCCGGGUCCACCGCCCGUAGCCCCAGGCCGCACCAGCCUCCUUCCUCCGCGACCCGCGCGCUCGCCUUCCCUCCCCCAUUUAUAUUCUCCGAUAAUUUCGGAGGAAAAGAAUUACAUCUUUUGGGCGAAUUUGUUUCAUCUCUCCUAAAUUCAGAAACGGAGCCUUCAAAAGUCUUAAUGUGUGUGUUUAUUUUUUCCUAGCAUUCAAAUGAAUGCGAAGCCACGGAUCGAAUCCCGUCACUCAUUUGGGGUUAGCUUCUCCCGAUAUUUCACACGGAAAACAAAACUGGGUCCCUCUUAUUUGUACUUGUCCUUAACCUUUGCAGCAACUGCUGUAGAUACGGCUCUGUCCAUUCUCUAAUAGAUUUUACCAGGGGCUGGUGACAGAGAACUGAUUUCUUUUCUAUUAGGGUUUAGCACAUCUUUGUUGAAGGCCUGUAGAAUGACCAGGGAUUAGAUUUGCAUCUCUUAGACGCCCUGUGUGGUCUUUGUGCGAAGCUUGUAACUGUUAAAAAUGACUUGUUAGGAAGCGUGUGGGCUCUCAUCGCUCUCCUUUUGACAGAAUGAUUGUGAAAUUCAGAUUGGCCCUGUAGGAUUUAGCCCGCAGAUUCCACCUGAACCCUAAGCAAUUAGACCCUAAUCUCACUGCAAUCAUAUUUGAGUUAGGAUUUGUUGCACUUUGUUUACUUCAAUUAAAAGCAGUGGAAUAAUUUUUCUCAGCUUUUAAAAUGAAAUCUCCAGGCAUAAAACCUCAGGACUUCUUAGAAGCGGUUUUGGUAGUGAUGAGGAUUUCUUUUCUUGUGUGGUUUCCUCUUAGUCCUCAAGCCUGUCCCCUCCCCCAUUUAAAUAACUCGUCUUUCUCCCCCGGUUGCUCGCUAAUGCCCCAAGCAUCUUCGCAAAGGUUGAAUUCGGGUCGCCAGGGACUAGCCGCAUGGAGAUGACUCCCAGCUGCGAGGGUCGCCCACGCUCUGGGAGCACCCCUCCAAGUUCUCCACAGGGUGCCCACGCCCGCUCCCUCGCAGAGUUUUCCCACCCGUUGCGCCCGCCGGCUCCAGGCUGUGGUCGCCGGUCCCGAGUCUGCCUUCCCGCUGCGGAGUAGGUGCUUCUAAGGCUCCCGGCAUCAGCCCGGUGGCACUGAGAUUGCAGAGUCGGUGUGGUCAGCCUGACCUCCGCAUGCGUCCCGGGAGGCUCUCGCCAAGCUAGCGGAGCUGCCCUCAGGGAUCCACUGUGGUCUCAACUUGGAAUUCGUUUCCGUCCUGCAGCUCUGCUGCGCAGAGUCCACACCUAGAGGUGGACGGAGAGUGGUCUCUUCCCCUGGGCUGGCACUGGAGGAUACCCAGCCCCAGGCUUCGGGGCGCCGGUGAUCCUUCAGGCCCGGGGCCUGCUCCAGAAGCCCAAAGCCCAAAGCUCAGGCCUCUCAGAGUGGCCUCUUGUCACGCUGAGGAGAACCAGUCGCCCAAGUCUUCAGGAUCUCGGCCGUUUAACCCCUACGCAGUUCUUAAGGGUUGCUUGCAGUUACUGUCAAGCCAGGUCGCCUUCGGGGUAUUUCUUGAUCAGUGGCGAGUUUAUCGCCUUCAUUUGUUUAUCUGGUGUGACUUUGUCACUUUUAUUUACUCAAAGCAUCUCUUUAUUUGGAAGACAUGACAAUGACUUUGAGUUAUUGUUUCUUCCAUUUCUUCCAUGUUUAUUUGCUCCCAGUGAAUUCGAUUCGGUUUCCUGGAUUACUGGUUUACGUUUCUCAAUUAAUACUAAAGGGCCAGCCAAU
RNAcentral lists this long non-coding RNA (2314 nucleotides) under Marmota monax (woodchuck). The record is from RNAcentral. Lineage: Eukaryota; Metazoa; Chordata; Mammalia; Rodentia; Sciuridae.